Silurus meridionalis is the source of this 279-nucleotide long non-coding RNA. RefSeq lists it as uncharacterized. The transcript is spliced from 3 exons. NCBI's taxonomy places the organism in Eukaryota, Metazoa, Chordata, Actinopteri, Siluriformes, Siluridae. The record is from RefSeq and is a predicted model, not a curated record.
AGAGGCUUUUUUCUGAUGUCGCAUGUGUCAGGCGUUUACCAGACUGCCUUAAGCUUCCUGGCUCAUGAAUGAACAUUGCACAGUAAACCUGCAACACUCAAUGAACUCCUGCAGUGCAAAAUGUUCCUGCCUUAAAAGACGGGAGGGAAGUGCGGCUCUACAAGUCUAUGAAGCACUGAGGAUCGUCUGAGACUCACAGGCACUUUAUGGUUCUUAUCCCUGGCUGGUGUCUCUGAGGUUCAGAGGAGCACAUUUCCAUCCUCGCCGAGCGCUGGCUUC